UACAGAGGGGGCAAGCGUUGUCCGGAAUUACUGGGCGUAAAGGGCGCGUAGGUGGCCUUCUAAGUUGAACGUGAAAUCCCUGGGCUCAACCCAGGAACUGCGUCCAAGACUGGGAGGCUUGAAUCCGGGAGAGGGAUGCGGAAUUCCAGGUGUAGCGGUGAAAUGCGUAGAUAUCUGGAGGAACACCGGUGGCGAAGGCGGCAUCCUGGACCGGGAUUGACACUGAGGCGCGAAAGCCAGGGGAGCAAACGGG
Molecule: ribosomal RNA, 253 nt
Filed under: uncultured bacterium
Lineage: Bacteria
Description: partial 16S ribosomal RNA
Rfam family: Bacterial small subunit ribosomal RNA
Source: RNAcentral